AACGAACGCUGGCGGCAUGCCUAACACAUGCAAGUCGAACGAGACCUUCGGGUCUAGUGGCGCACGGGUGCGUAACGCGUGGGAACCUGCCCUUAGGUUCGGAAUAACUCCCCGAAAGGGGUGCUAAUACCGGAUAAUGUCUUCGGACCAAAGAUUUAUCGCCUUUGGAUGGGCCCGCGUUGGAUUAGCUAGUUGGUAGGGUAAAAGCCUACCAAGGCGACGAUCCAUAGCUGGUCUGAGAGGAUGAUCAGCCACACUGGGACUGGGACACGGCCCAGACUCCUACGGGAGGCAGCAGUGGGGAAUAUUGGACAAUGGGCGAAAGCCUGAUCCAGCAAGGCCGCGUGAGUGAUGAAGGCCUUAGGGUUGUAAAGCUCUUUUACCCGGGAUGAUAAUGACAGUACCGGGAGAAUAAGCUCCGGCUAACUCCGU
Molecule: ribosomal RNA, 432 nt
Filed under: uncultured bacterium
Lineage: Bacteria
Description: partial 16S ribosomal RNA
Rfam family: Bacterial small subunit ribosomal RNA
Source: RNAcentral